Molecule: ribosomal RNA, 496 nt
Filed under: uncultured bacterium
Lineage: Bacteria
Description: partial 16S ribosomal RNA
Rfam family: Bacterial small subunit ribosomal RNA
Source: RNAcentral
GAUGAACGCUAGCGGCAGGCCUAAUACAUGCAAGUCGAGGGGUAGAAGAGGCUUGCUUCUCUGAGACCGGCGCACGGGUGCGUAACGCGUAUGCAACCUACCUUCAUCUGGGGGAUAGCCCGGAGAAAUCCGGAUUAAUACCGCAUAAAAUCACAGGAUGGCAUUAUCCAAUGAUCAAACAUUUAUGGGAUGGAGAUGGGCAUGCGUGUCAUUAGCUAGUUGGCGGGGUAACGGCCCACCAAGGCGACGAUGACUAGGGGAUCUGAGAGGAUGGCCCCCCACACUGGUACUGAGACACGGACCAGACUCCUACGGGAGGCAGCAGUAAGGAAUAUUGGUCAAUGGAGGCAACUCUGAACCAGCCAUGCCGCGUGCAGGAAGACUGCCCUAUGGGUUGUAAACUGCUUUUAUUCAGGAGUAAACCUUAUUACGUGUAAUAAGCUGAAUGUACCGAAGGAAUAAGGAUCGGCUAACUCCGUGCCAGCAGCCGCCGUAA